UACGUAGGGUGCGAGCGUUAAUCGGAAUUACUGGGCGUAAAGUGUGCGCAGGUGGCCGCGCAAGUCGAGUGUGAAAUCCCCGAGCUUAACUUGGGAAUUGCGCUCGAAACUACGUGGCUCGAGUGUGGCAGAGGAAGGUGGAAUUCCACGUGUAGCGGUGAAAUGCGUAGAUAUCAAGAGGAACACCUGAGGUGAAGACGGGUUGCUGGGCUGACACUGACGCUGAGGCGCGAAAGCCAGGGGAGCAAACGGG
This 253-nucleotide ribosomal RNA is filed under the name uncultured bacterium. RNAcentral describes it as "partial 16S ribosomal RNA". It matches the Rfam family "Bacterial small subunit ribosomal RNA", at positions 524 to 776 of the family's 1533-position model. The record is from RNAcentral.